RNAcentral lists this ribosomal RNA (253 nucleotides) under uncultured bacterium. RNAcentral describes it as "partial 16S ribosomal RNA". It matches the Rfam family "Bacterial small subunit ribosomal RNA", at positions 524 to 776 of the family's 1533-position model. The record is from RNAcentral.
UACGUAGGUGGCAAGCGUUGUCCGGAUUUACUGGGCGUAAAGAGCGCGCAGGCGGUCGUUCAAGUCGCGUGUGAAAGCCCCCGGCUCAACUGGGGAGGGUCACGCGAUACUGAUCGACUCGAAGGCAGGAGAGGGUAGUGGAAUUCCCGGUGUAGUGGUGAAAUGCGUAGAUAUCGGGAGGAACACCGGUGGCGAAGGCGGAUCUCUGGGCCGUAACUGACGCUGAGGAGCGAAAGCAUGGGGAGCGAACAGG